UGCGUAGGCGGGGCAAUUAGUCAGUGGUGAAAUCCUGCGGCUUAACCGUAGAAUUGCCAUUGAUACUGUUGCCCUUGAAUAUAGUUGAAGUGGGCGGAAUAUGUAAUGUAGCGGUGAAAUGCAUAGAGAUUACAUAGAACACCAAUUGCGAAGGCAGCUCACUAAGCUAUCACUGACGCUGAGGCACGAAAGCGUGGGGAGCGAACAGGAUUAGAUACCCUGGUAGUCC
Molecule: ribosomal RNA, 229 nt
Filed under: uncultured bacterium
Lineage: Bacteria
Description: partial 16S ribosomal RNA
Rfam family: Bacterial small subunit ribosomal RNA
Source: RNAcentral